This 460-nucleotide ribosomal RNA is filed under the name uncultured bacterium. RNAcentral's name for it is "partial 16S ribosomal RNA". It matches the Rfam family "Bacterial small subunit ribosomal RNA", at positions 338 to 795 of the family's 1533-position model. The record is from RNAcentral.
CCUACGGGGUGCUGCAGUGAGGAAUAUUGGUCAAUGGGCGCUAGCCUGAACCAGCCAAGUAGCGUGAAGGAUGACUGCCCUAUGGGUUGUAAACUUCUUUUAUAUGGGAAUAAAGUGCAGUAUGUAUACUGCUUUGCAUGUACCUUAUGAAUAAGGAUCGGCUAACUCCGUGCCAGCAGCCGCGGUAAUACGGAGGAUGCGAGCGUUAUCCGGAUUUAUUGGGUUUAAAGGGUGCGUAGGUGGUUAAUUAAGUCAGCGGUGAAAGUUUGUGGCUCAACCAUAAAAUUGCCGUUGAAACUGGUUGACUUGAGUAUAUUUGAGGUAGGCGGAAUGCGUGGUGUAGCGGUGAAAUGCAUAGAUAUCACGCAGAACUCCGAUUGCGAAGGCAGCUUACUAAACUAUAACUGACACUGAAGCACGAAAGCGUGGGGAUCAAACAGGAUUAGAUACCCCUGUAGUC